Molecule: small nuclear RNA, 106 nt
Filed under: Lingula anatina
Lineage: Eukaryota; Metazoa; Brachiopoda; Lingulata; Lingulida; Lingulidae
Description: U4 spliceosomal RNA
Rfam family: U4 spliceosomal RNA
About the family: U4 small nuclear RNA (U4 snRNA) is a component of the major U2-dependent spliceosome. The structure of U4 snRNA from yeast and human has been reported. U4 snRNA presents a k-turn RNA motif in the 5p-SL related to recognition of Snu13 protein.
Source: Rfam by way of RNAcentral
AGCUUUGCGCAGUGGCGGUACCAUGGACAAUGAGGCUUAUCCCAGGUGUGGUUAUUACUAGUUGAAGCUAUACCCAAUACUGAAGACGUGAAAUCGUUAAAGAAAG